RNAcentral lists this ribosomal RNA (106 nucleotides) under Candidatus Neptunichlamydia sp. RNAcentral describes it as "partial 16S ribosomal RNA". It matches the Rfam family "Bacterial small subunit ribosomal RNA", at positions 1422 to 1533 of the family's 1533-position model. The record is from RNAcentral. Lineage: Bacteria; Pseudomonadati; Chlamydiota; Chlamydiia; Parachlamydiales; Simkaniaceae.
AGAUGUGUAUAAGAGACAGGGGCAGCGGACCACGGUAGGAUCAGCGACUGGGGUGAAGUCGUAACAAGGUAGCCGUAGGGGAACCUGCGGCUGGAUCACCUCCUUU